CUCUGGAACAAGUUUAGCGUUUGUGAUGUGCUGCUGGGUGUUUCUAAGGCAGAUGACAAAAGCGAGGACAAACGCAAAGUUUCUGAUAGCUUUUUUUGGAACAAGCUCGGGAACAAGACAUUGAUCAUAAUAUCGUAGAUUUUGCUUGGAAUUCAUCAUGAAGUGCAAUCGAAAAUGUAAUAAUGGCUUGACACUGGCAUGCGAAAAAGUUCAGUGCCGAUCUGCUAUUGAACGAAUGUUUCACUUCGAAGAAGUUGGAACCGCCCAUCGCAUUCUUUUCCUUCGUAAGAACCUGAAUAAAUCGAUUAACAUACCAGCUGACACGGAGGGCGACAAUCCAUCAUCAUCUGGCAGGCCUAAAUUUUCCUAGCAAACCAUUGCCAAGCCAUCUCAAUCAGGCGAAUAGCGGGAUGGGCUGUGAUACUGCAAAGCGUUUUGAGCGGUGGUGCAGAACUCAUCUGCUAAGCCUUCAACCCAGCAGGUGCGUAAUGGUGGUUCAGCAGAUCCAAGUGGCUGUCCAAGCGGUAUCAAUCAGCUCAAUCAGUUGAUGAAUAACAUAAAGGAUGUCAGCGCUUCCAAUAAUCAAAUGACGAUGAUUCCGAAAACAAAGCAACAAAUCGCUGGAUUCUAGAGGCGAAUUGCCACGCAACAAGAAAUCUACGUGAAGCAGCAUUUGAAACCUGGCAAAUAACUUCCAUCGUAAACAGCAUGAUCUAACUACUCUUCAAAAUAAUUUAUCAGAACGAAAAAAUAAUGUAUGGAAAUAAGUAAAGAACAUACCACCAUGGCCCUGGAGGCGGCGUUACCGGUACCUGUUUCGGUAGUCAACAAUCUCGUCUGAACCAGUGGAAGUUGACCAUCACCGACAAGAGUGUGGGAUACGAUUUUAUUGAUUUCUCGCCUGCAUUUGGAACGACGGCAAAAUCCACAGCUUCCCCUACUGGAUCAAACAUAAGCGGUGUACGGUGUACGUGGUUUACAAGGUGGUAACCGAGCUUACAGCACCUGGUCCAUCUGUCGUGGAGGAAUUGGAGUUGGAUGGCCAGAUUAUUCAGCCGAUACUGCCAUGGCAGUUUAUAUUAACCUGCUAAUCAACGUUCUUUCACUGAUUUGGUUCCCGAGUUUGAACUUCAAAUACCUACCGAGACAACAUUAAAUCAACAAUC
Armigeres subalbatus is the source of this 1166-nucleotide long non-coding RNA. RefSeq lists it as uncharacterized. The transcript is spliced from 5 exons. The record is from RefSeq and is a predicted model, not a curated record. NCBI's taxonomy places the organism in Eukaryota, Metazoa, Arthropoda, Insecta, Diptera, Culicidae.